GAUGAACGCUGGCGGCGUGCUUAAUACAUGCAAGUCGAGCGGACGGACGAGAAGCUUGCUUCUCUGAUGUUAGCGGCGGACGGGUGAGUAACACGUGGAUAACCUACCUAUCAGACUGGGAUCACUUCGGGACACCGGCGCUAAUACCGGAUAAUAUCUUGAACCGCAUGGUUCAAAAGUGAAAGACGGUCUUGCUGUCACUUAUCGAUGGAUCUGCGCUGCAUUAGCUCGUUGGUACGUUAACGGCCUACCACGGCGACGAUGCAUAGCCCAACUGAGAGGGUGAUCGGCCACACUGGAAGUGAGACAGGGUCCAGACUCCUACGGGAGGGAGCAGUAGGGAAUGGUCCGCAAUGGGGGAAAGCCUGACGGAGCAACGGCACGUGAGUGAUGAAGGUCUUCGGAUCGUAAAACUCUGUUAUUAGGGAAAAACAUAUGUGUAAUUAACUGUGCACAGAUUGACGGUACCUAAUCAGAAAGCCACGGCUAACUACGUG
This 497-nucleotide ribosomal RNA is filed under the name uncultured bacterium. RNAcentral's name for it is "partial 16S ribosomal RNA". It matches the Rfam family "Bacterial small subunit ribosomal RNA", at positions 28 to 507 of the family's 1533-position model. The record is from RNAcentral.